CCUAGGGAGGAAAACAAGCUCGAUUUGGACAACCUCGGUAGCUGCUGCGGGAACACAAGCCUGCUCGGGAUAAUGGGUUGGGUGCCGGCCACUCUGCGGUGAGCACACAGGUCACACAUGCAAGGAGUUCACAGGUCUCAGCUCUCUUGUUAACACGGGAGGGGGAAUGAAUCCCCCCAGCAUUGCUCAGCUGGGGUAUCGCGGAGCUGACUUCUGCCACAGCAACGCUCCAGCACUGCUUUUAAAGACAGAGGCUAAUCCCUGGCUUUCCAGGAACUGAGCGGGCACCCCUGAGAGCUGUGCAUCCUCCGGUCAGCCCUGACCUGCCCGCCACGCAUCUACCUGUGUGCACAACGCGUCCCAAACCCCGCAGCCUGCACCGCGCAUGCACACCCCGAGGAAAGCAAAGCAUCGCCGCUCAGACCUGCCUGCCCAAGGAAAGGCUAAACCGCUUCCAGCGCUACCUGCCUGCGCGCUCACACGCAACGACACCGCAGCCAGAUGCGGACCUAAAAAUUGAAGAGAGGAAGAGGAGCAAGAGCAAAAAGAAGAAGAAGAAGAGGAGGAAGAAGAGGAAAGUGUAUUGGUGUGAGCACGGAGGAAUGGUUUAGCAGGAUUUCACUCAAGGGGACAAGGCACACAAAAAAAUCAUGAUUCAUUUUCAGCCGAGCGGAGCUUCGUGUUUCUAUAAGCUAUGAAGCAAUAUUGGAAGAACGAGGGAAGACUGGGAGAAGGAAAUGAACCCAGAGGUUUGGAGGGCUCUGAUGGAACAGGAUUAAGAUGUUGGUGCAAUAAAUAACACCUUUAUUUUUGCACAUGAAUUUUCAUGCUUGGCCAUGCCCUGGGACUGGGAGAUGAAACGCAGAGCAGAACAACAAAUGUUUGAUCAUUUUGACGGGGCAGGUGAGUGGCAAGUGACAACCAAGCUGUGAACCUGCUUGGCAUCGUUGCAGAGGAGCCGCAGGGACACGUGCUCUCCCGGGAUAUCUUGUAGAAUAAAGCAGCACAUGCAAGAUAGCGAGACAGGAGCUCAUGUGUGCGGGCAGGGAGGAUCCGGGCCGGUGCUGGUGGUGGCUGCUCCCGUGUCCCGCGGGCUUUGCUUUCAGCCUUUGCCAGGCUGUCGUGCGGGGGGUGACGCAUGUUAAGCAGCUCAGCCACCAGCUGAUAUCCCUGACGCGAUAUUGUCCUUAUUGUGCUGCACAAAGCGAUUUCCAGCCCGGGCUGGGGAUAUUUCUUGUUUUGGUUGGGGUGGAGGGGAGAACCCAGCCAGUUAAUCCCCUCCGGCCAUACUCUUCCCCGUGGGGUUUAAGCGAAGCGACGUGGCAGCCGCACCAGGCUUGUCAGCUCUCUGCUCUUUCUCCUUGCACGCUCUGUAAUUUUAGGUAAAAUGAAGCCAGUCAAAGCCGGAAUGAAAAAUAGACUCCACGUGGCUUUCCCAGCCUAGCAGCAGACUUUCAUUUGAGAAAUGCUGCUGUUCCCAAUGCGGAGCCCGACACCGUCGCACCGACUUUGCACCACUGCCUGAAACAAUGAGAAGCUGAAUUGGAAAUGACCUCCUGAUUAUCGGUGGCAUCUCUCACUGUGUUUAUUUAUGGGCUGCAAUAAUAUUAGUAUAAUAUUAUUGUUGUCCUUUUGUGCAAACUGUGCUUUAUUUAUGGCAGCGAGGCAGGAAACACAGUCUGCAUAACUGAGGUUUGGAUGGAACGAAACAUAUGUGAGGAAUUUCUUAAUUUGAUUUCAGACACGCGCGACGUUUGCUGCCCGCUCUCCUUAUCUGCCCAUCUAUUUGUCUUUCUCCAUAUGGACACAUCCAUUUAUCUAUUGCUCUGCUACUUCUGAGGCUCCUGCCUCUCUGGCAUCCAAUUUUUCUAUUUAUUUUAUUUUAUCUUAGUGUAUUUCUGGAGGAGGCAGAAGAGCCGGUGAGAACACGGAUGGGCAGCACAUGAAGCUGGGAAGAUGUGGGGAAGAAAGAAACGCCUCCGGGGCAAAAAGAAGGGGAAAAAAGCAGAGCAAAAGGCUCAUGCAAUGUUUAAAAUAACAUGGCACAGACCCAUCUGUGGAUGCAGCUGCUUGUAAUGCCAAUCGAUACGGGAGCGAUUCCCUUCCUGAACUGGUGACCGAUAAUCAAUGGGCUGAGCCCCGGCUCUCCUCUCUCCCCGCUCCUCCGACCCGGCCUUAUUAAUUAAAACCCAGCCCCCUGUGCUCCUGAGAGCCCCUCCCUCCUUGCAAAGCAAUAUAUUGCCCAUGGUACAGCCCGUUCAUCACCUAUAGCCACCGCAAUCUACACAUUGUAUAAGCAGGAGAGGCUCUAGCAGCUAAUUAAGCAUUCAGUCCUCCUUUUGCCUGGAAGAUGCUAUGCAAAAACCAAAGCCUAUUGAAUGUUCAAGCAGAAUUCUUAUUAAUUUUAUGUGGGAGAUAGAUAGGAGUAUAAUUGCCUGGAAACCUGGUUUAAAGAAUGGAAACAGAAUGUCUCUUCUUUCUUACUUAAUUUGUAUUGAUUUUUAUAUUUUAUUUUUAUUUUGGGGAGCUGAAAAUGUGGAGUGUGAUUUUUCGAUGCUUUAAAAUGUGUAUUAUGUCCCCACUUAAGGAGCUGCUGGGAAGUGGGUUAGGCUAGUGAAAAAUGCGCUGCUCUGAAUACAAGCAAAAUAGUACCAAUAAUAAUAAUAAUAAUAAUAAUAAUAAUAAUAAUAAUAAUAAUAAUAAUAAUAAUAAUAAUAAUAAUAAUGGUGAUUGAUGAUGAUGAUGAUGAUGAUGAUGAUGAUGAUGAUGCAAAUGUCAGGGCGGUCACUAAAAAUGUACUUUUCCUGCCUUCAGCAUUGGGAAUCACCUUUCCCAGCCCUUUCUGAGCGUGUCGCGCACAAGCUCAUUGCAUGGCAGUGCCGAGCCCUCUCCCCCGGGGAGAACCAACCAUAAAUCUCCCAAAACCAACACUUUCCUCGCUGGGAAAUGAAAAAGUCAUUAAAUGCACAGCACGGAACAGGAGGAGGGAAAGGGAUGGGGAUGCAGGAGCCAGCUCAGCAUCUCCGCAGAUGCCGCUCGCACUCCGGUCCCAUCCCGGCAUCACACAAACGCUCUCGCCAACCCCACGUUAUCCAUGCGGGAAGAUUGGCGGUGACCUUUAAAUGUCACUUCCAAAUGCCAGCCCCAGCUAAGUGGCUACAAAACGCAGUGUUUGUGCUCGAUUACGGGGAGCAAUGGGCCUGAGCUGCUCACCUGCUGACAGGGACGCUGGAAAAAGCCAAGGGCCCCCGGGUGGCCUAUGAGCAUCUUCUCCACCCAUCAGUAGAGAGAUGUAACUGGGCAAAUCACACCAGGAAUAAAGAUAAUCCAAAUAUUGUAUUGCAUUAAUACUGUAUAUUAAAUGCAUUGUGGUGUUUUUUUCCAUGUCUCAAAUUAGACCCGACCAAUUACUGGGGGAAAGAAAUGAAAUAAUUCAAGACUUUUUUGUCAGUUGAUUUGAAGUUUGGGUGAACAAGCUGUUUCCGCACAGUUUCCAUCUGAUCCCCAUUGAAUCCUGUGUCCCCCCCCCCGCUGCAGUGCAGCCUGGGCUGGCUGGCCAGGCCAAAAUAAACCUGAAACAUGGGGCUUUGAUGAUGGAAUAAAAUGAAAUCACCGGAGUUACCGCCACAAUCGCUGUCGCGCUGCAGCCAUCAGCAGCACCAGAGUGAGAUCGCUAUCCAGGCGAAAGCGAGAGGCUCUGGCUACACAAAUUGUAUUUCCCUAGGCAGUGGAUUAAUUAAAACUAUCAAGUGUUCUCAGCUUUUUGAAAUUAACUUUGAAAGUGUUUGGAUAAAAAAGAAAAGUGGGAAAUAAGAAAAAAAAAUAAAAGCCUGAACAAUUUUUGCUGUUUCUUUUCUUCUCCCUUGAGUGCAGGGAAAGAGGAGGAAAAGGCAGAUUUUCCCCCAGACCGUUUGCAGUGCAGAAAGUCCCGCAUGGCCCAUGGGAACCGAGCCUUAAUUGUGAUGCUAAACCCAGUUAUUACGGACCUUGGGCCAAACAUUAAAUUUCUGUUUGGGGGGGUGCUUGGCUUUCUUGACAUGGGAGAUGCGGCCCCUUCUCCAUCCCAGCGCCAGCGCUCGGUGCUCAGGAGUGAUGGAAUUCCCGGGGGGAAAACCACUGGGACGCAGCAAACGACACCUGAUACAAACAAGAGGAGAUGGGGAGAAUAAAGAGGGAAUAAAACCCCACCCGACAGCCAGUGUACAAGACAUUAGGGACCAUCACGAAGAAUCACGCUCAGUGCGGGAUGAAGAGGCUGCACUGAAUAUAGCGGCGCUGGCUGCCGGCGGGGACGGCUGCGUGAUGGAGAGAGCAAUCGGGAGGACGCUGCCGCGUUCCCGCAGGACCGAGGUUGAUUUCUCAGCAGGUUCAGCUGUGUGGUAGGUAAAUUAUGCUCAGCCAUCCUUCCUUGGGUCUUAUUUCAUGGCCCAGCGAUGAUUAUGCUACUGAUCUUCCAAAGGGGGUUGUUCUGGGCUGGAGAAGCCUAAUAAAUAAGGAUGUGGAAACCUUCCAGAAGAGACAAUAGCUAAACACACCAUAUAGGCAGCCUGUCUGAUGACAUAUGGGGUAAAAUACAGCCAAAGAGCCCUGAAAUGGGAACAUUUCACUGCGCACCAGCUCCUCGGUGUUGGCGGGAAGAGCAGGGGAUGCCAACCCAGCCGGGCACAACAAUGCGCUUGAUAAAGCAAGAACCAGCCCCAUAAGGUUUAAAGGCCUCUAUUUUCCCCAAAUCUCACCAUUUCCAUCAUUUUGGGACAGGGCAGCCCCUGCCACCCCCUGCACCCAUGUCCCUGUGCCCCUUGCAGAGCUGCCUGUGCUCCCUGCCCAAACCAUCACACGCCCGCUGAAACUUCCCAUGUUUUGACAUGCACCGUUCCACCACCUUCAAUAAAACGUGCUGGGAGCAGACUUGGGAUCCCAAAGGGUCCUGGAUCAAACCUCAUUACUCUUCAAAUGGCUUCUAAUCAUCCCUCCCACUCUGUUCCCCGCAGCAUCCGUCGUUCCGGCAGCUGAGAAGGGGAAACAAAUGCAGAACAAAUCAUUAGGAAACAACAAACCCCCGAUCUGCCCGACCCAAGGAGACACAAAAGCAGCUCAGGGGUUGUGAGGACGCUUGGCCUGCCUUCUGCAUCGCAGCGGGGCUCUUGGCAGGUCUUGGCUGCCCAGAGAGAGGUUUCCUCUUCCCCUCGCUGCCUCCGCACCUUAUCUCCAGGCUCAGACGAGCUGCUUUGGCUGCAAAGGCUGAGGAGUCGUUAAUCCCGGCUCAUCCAGGGGUGGUGGGAGCGGAGACAGCAGCUCAGGGGGUUUAUCUUGACUUCUCCCCCUCCUCAGCCCCCGCCAUCCCCCUCCCAGCCUUCCCCUUCGUGCCAUCCAUGUGCCAUCGGAUUUUGGGGAACACCAGCACCCUCCGUCUGAAGCCCCAGAAAAAGCGCCUGGUGUCACUCAGCUUGCAAAAGCUGCUCUCCCAGUUCUCCCAGCAGAGACUGCCCAGGUCCCAAGUGUCAUUCUGUCCUCCAGCUCGGCGACCGCAGUCCCCAUGGUCCCUUAGCGAGCCCCAGCACAGACCAGAGACUGGCCACAAAUGUCUCCUGUUCCCAAGUGCUCCGCUUCCAUUAGUUGUGAAAAAAAUGAAAUAAAAAUUAAAAAAAUCAAUCAGAUGCUUUUUAUUUGCUAUUUUUUCCCCCUGCUGCAGCCAGUCUUCG
This is a long non-coding RNA of Columba livia (rock pigeon), 5702 nucleotides long. RefSeq lists it as uncharacterized. The record is from RefSeq and is a predicted model, not a curated record. The transcript has 4 exons. Lineage: Eukaryota; Metazoa; Chordata; Aves; Columbiformes; Columbidae.